GAGCGAUUCAGAGAACUCGUGAAAUAGAUGCGAUGGCAGCUUGCUAUUGCAGAAAAGCCAUCCCAAUCGCUUGCCUCGGUUUCAUCGAGGGAAACGAUGGAGGAUGCAUGACAACUCAAAAUCGGCGCAGUUCCGCGCCAAGGCAAUAUAUCGAAAAACACGGGACCUUCACCGGUUUCAGUGUCGUGGAGUGCACUAGCACACCACACGGAUUGACACGACUCUCGGCAAUGGAUAUCUCGGCUCUCGCAUCGAUGAAGAGCGCAGCGAAAUGCGAUACGUGGUGCGAAUUGCAGAAUCCCGCGAACCAUCGAGUAUUUGAACGCAAGUUGCGCCCGAGGCCAGACGGCCAAGGGCACGUCCGCCUGGGCGUCAAGCAUCGCGUCGCUCCGUGCCAAAUCCAUCCCACCAAUGGGUGUGUCGGCCAAGGCUCGGACGUGCAGAGUGGCUCAUCGUGCCUGUUGGUGCGGCGGGCUAAAGAGUGUGGGUUAUCGUCUCGUUGGUCACGAACAACAAGGGGUGGAUGAAAGCCAUGAGCAAGGCCUAUGUUGUCUCGUGCUGGCCUGAUAAGAGAUGUACCCUUCAGGAGAUCCCAACCCGUGCGCCGUUCUAAAGGCGGUGGCAUG
RNAcentral lists this ribosomal RNA (626 nucleotides) under Changnienia malipoensis. Its description in RNAcentral is "eukaryotic LSU rRNA". The stretch from base 220 to 375 matches the Rfam family "5.8S ribosomal RNA". The record is from RNAcentral. Lineage: Eukaryota; Viridiplantae; Streptophyta; Magnoliopsida; Asparagales; Orchidaceae.